Misgurnus anguillicaudatus (oriental weatherfish) is the source of this 324-nucleotide non-coding RNA. NCBI's taxonomy places the organism in Eukaryota, Metazoa, Chordata, Actinopteri, Cypriniformes, Cobitidae. The record is from RefSeq and is a predicted model, not a curated record.
GAGCGCGCGGCCGUCUGCAGGAGGUUUGCUGGAACGCGAUCCUGAGGUGAAAUUUCUUUAAGAGGUUUUAAAAACUUUCUACACUGUGGAGUACGGCUGCGAGUGAUGUGAGCAGGAUCCGCAUGCUGGAUAAGAACAGCAUUUGUGAGACGACAUCAACUCAACAUCCGAGUGGACAAGAACACCCACAGAGGAAGCCAAGUCGCAAAAACAACGAAAAAUGUUCAUGACUUUAUUUGAAAUAAAAGUUUUGUGUUAAUAAAAAUGAAGUGUUGGCUUAAUUAUAGUGUUGUAAAGAGGUUUUGAAAUAAGUUGUUUUAAAAU